AGAGUUUGAUCCUGGCUCAGAUUGAACGCUGGCGGCAGGCUUAACACAUGCAAGUCGAGCGGUAACAUUUCUAGCUUGCUAGAAGAUGACGAGCGGCGGACGGGUGAGUAAUGCUUGGGAAUAUGCCUUAUGGUGGGGGACAGCAGUUGGAAACGACUGCUAAUACCGCAUAACGUCUACGGACCAAAGGGGGGGAUCUUCGGACCUCUCGCCAUUUGAUUAGCCCAAGUGAGAUUAGCUAGUUGGUAAGGUAAUGGCUUACCAAGGCGACGAUCUCUAGCUGGUUUGAGAGGAUGAUCAGCCACACUGGGACUGAGACACGGCCCAGACUCCUACGGGAGGCAGCAGUGGGGAAUAUUGGACAAUGGGCGAAAGCCCGAUCCAGCAAUACCGCGUGUGUGAAGAAGGCCUGAGGGUUGUAAAGCACUUUCAAUAGAGACGAAAAGCCUGGGAUUAAUACUCCCGGGUCUUGACUUAACCUAUAGAAGAAGCACCGCUAACU
RNAcentral lists this ribosomal RNA (502 nucleotides) under uncultured bacterium. RNAcentral's name for it is "bacterial SSU rRNA". It matches the Rfam family "Bacterial small subunit ribosomal RNA", at positions 8 to 502 of the family's 1533-position model. The record is from RNAcentral.